Molecule: ribosomal RNA, 465 nt
Filed under: uncultured bacterium
Lineage: Bacteria
Description: partial 16S ribosomal RNA
Rfam family: Bacterial small subunit ribosomal RNA
Source: RNAcentral
UAGGGAAUCUUCCACAAUGGACGCAAGUCUGAUGGAGCAACGCCGCGUGAGUGAAGAAGGCUUUCGGGUCGUAAAACUCUGUUAUUGAAGAAGAACGUGUGUGACAGUAACUGGUCAUGCAGUGACGGUAUUCAAUCAGAAAGUCACGGCUAACUACGUGCCAGCAGCCGCGGUAAUACGUAGGUGGCAAGCGUUGUCCGGAUUUAUUGGGCGUAAAGCGAGUGCAGGCGGUCUUUUAAGUCUGAUGUGAAAGCCUUCGGCUUAACCGAAGAAGGGCAUCGGAAACUGGGAGACUUGAGUGCAGAAGAGGAGAGUGGAACUCCAUGUGUAGCGGUGAAAUGCGUAGAUAUAUGGAAGAACACCAGUGGCGAAGGCGGCUCUCUGGUCUGUAACUGACGCUGAGGCUCGAAAGCGUGGGUAGCAAACAGGAUUAGAUACCCUGGUAGUCCACGCCGUAAACGAUGA